AGGCGGGAGGAUCGCUUGAGCUCAGGAGUUACAAGCUGCAGUGAGCUGUGAUUGGGCCACUGCACUCCAGCCUGAGUGACAGAGCAAGACC
RNAcentral lists this microRNA precursor (91 nucleotides) under Microcebus murinus (gray mouse lemur). RNAcentral describes it as "miRNA (ENSMICG00000045016.1)". Lineage: Eukaryota; Metazoa; Chordata; Mammalia; Primates; Cheirogaleidae. The record is from RNAcentral.